Molecule: ribosomal RNA, 465 nt
Filed under: uncultured bacterium
Lineage: Bacteria
Description: partial 16S ribosomal RNA
Rfam family: Bacterial small subunit ribosomal RNA
Source: RNAcentral
CCUACGGGUGGCAGCAGUGGGGAAUAUUGCGCAAUGGGCGAAAGCCUGACGCAGCGACGCCGCGUGAGGGAUGAAGGUCUUCGGAUCGUAAACCUCUUUCAGCAGGGAAGAACGGUCACUGUGCUAAUCAGCAGUGAGUUUACGGGACCUGCAAAGGAAGCACCGCCUAACUCCGGGCCAGCAGCCGCGGUAAUACGGAGGGUGCGAGCGUUAAUCGGAAUUACUGGGCGUAAAGCGCUCGUAGGCGGUAUGUCAAGUCAAGGGUGAAAUCCCCGCGCUCAACGUGGGAACUGCCUUUGAAACUGGCAAACUGGAGUGGGUGAGAGGAAAGUGGAAUGCCAGGUGUAGGAGUGAAAUCCGUAGAUAUCUGGAGGAACAUCAGUGGCGAAGGCGACUAUCUGGCACAUAACUGACGCUGAGGAGCGAAAGCGUGGGUAGCAAACAGGAUUAGAUACCCCUGUAGUC